GAUGGGGGCGGUUAGUGCUUAGGAAUGGCUGUGGGGAGCCACCCUGAAAGUGUGGUCUGGGGUGCGGUUCUUCUGGACAUGCUGACGUUCAUAUUCACCUUCAGGCGGGCCCACCCACUGCACCCGUGGCUUCUCACACUAGUGGCCACACGAGUCCCAAGUCCCCAGGGAGCCCGGCCCCCUGGCACACCUUGCUGGUUCCUGCAGGCAUCGGUCGGGGCCCCAGGGACUCCCUGGGUGUGUGUGUUUGAUGCCCAGAGAGGGUCCGGGGCAGGCCGAAAGCACUUUUCUUGUCCCAUUUACCCUGGUAUUGAUGCCCCACCAUUUGGCCUUUACUGAUAGAAGGUUCUAGUUCUUUUUCUUUCUUUUCUCCCUUUGGGUUGUGAUUUCGUACAGAUUGGUGAAAUUUUACCUGCAGUGAUCAGGUAGAUCACUGCCCAGCGAGUGGCCCUGGGCUUUCUGUGCCUUAGUUUCCCCACCUGUGAACUGGGACUGACCACUCGGAUGCCUCCACCCCAGGACUUCUGGGAGGAUUGACUUGGUGACCCAACCGAGUGCUUAUCACAGUGGUCCAGGGAAAGCAGCUGACAAGCCCAGAUCGGGGACACGCUGUGGGACACCUGGCUGGGCGUCCAGGAGGCUGUCAAGGUCACGAGAAACAAGGAAAGGUGGAGAUGUUGCCACACGCUAUGGGCACUGAAGGAGGUGAUCAGAUGCCAUGUGGGGCCCCAGGUGGUGUCCUAGGGCAGAGAGAGGGGUUAGCGCCAGAACAUGGGCACCACUGCGGUUGAGGCUGCCUCCAAAAAGUGGGGACUUGUGCGAACACCUGCCUCCCCCCCGCCCCCCGGCGGGCAUGGGCUCCGGGCGCAGGCUGACCCGGGCUGUGGGGCAGGAGGGCCGGCAUCCGUGCAGGCUGAGGAGCGGGCCCUGGCCCCUGGUCCCGAGGCUCUGCCUGGCCUUCACCCUGAACGCUUUUCCCUCUAAGCUCCCAAUGACGGGCACCCCCGUGGUGGUGGUCAUGGCCUUGCUCCUCUCCUUCCCUGCUGCCUUCGGAGCCCCAGGAGAAGGCCUGGCAUGCAGUAGGUGCUCAGUAACUGCAGGGCAUCGACCUGCCCGAGUCAGAUGUCUGCUCUCCCUUGCUGGCGGGCUCUGCGGAGAUGCUGCGGGGCUCAGGGUAGGGCGGCCCUUGCGAGCGAUUCGGGCGCUGCCGCAGUCAGUAUCGCAGACGCCCGAGCUCAUCCGUCUUGGAGAAUGGAGCAGAGAAGGCCAGCAAGCGGAACGGUCUUUCUGGGGUCUCUCCUGGCAUCGAUCCGUGUUCUGCUACGAGAACAUUUUUUGAUGACUCUGGCUUUCCGGUAUGUUUUGAGAACUGCUGAGGCCCUUGUUCCCAAUUUUAUUCUUUGUCAAGACUUCUUCAGCUGGUCGCACAUUUACCCUUUUGGCAUCGAUGGCCCACCCGUCCCUCGGGCCCCCCUCAAACAGUCACAGACACAUGGUGCUGGCGGGAAGCAUCUCUGUCCCUCCACGGCCGACAUUCCAGCCCGGCAUCAGCCAACUUAGGUGAGAGCAAGGAGCCUUUGUGUUUUGUGUUUUUCAUCGACAAAUGGGACCACGGAUGCUGGUUUCCGACGGCUUCUCUCAAGUUUCUCUCGAUUCCCUGCUUUCAGAGGGUUUCGUGAGUGUGGGUGUGGGGUGCUCCCAAGCCCUUUCCCCGGAGCCUGGUCCGGGUCCUGACAACUGUCUAUGUGGAAAGUGUGCACCGCCGUGUGGCCGCCGCCCCCUGAGGUCCCCCCGCCCACUCGCUGCCAUCACCGGCCUGCCUUCUGUCUCUCCCAGUCUGCUGUUUUUAGAAAUUUCAUGUAAUUAGAGUGAUACAGCAUGUCAUCUUCAGUCUGGCUUCUUAAAAGUUUUUGAGGGGUGCCCGGGGGGCUCGGUCAGUUAAGCGUCUGCCUUCGGCUCUGGUCGUGAUCUCGGGGUCCCGGGAUCGAGUUCUGCGUCGGGCUCCCUGCUCGGCGGGAAG
This is a non-coding RNA of Callorhinus ursinus (northern fur seal), 2020 nucleotides long. Lineage: Eukaryota; Metazoa; Chordata; Mammalia; Carnivora; Otariidae. The record is from RefSeq and is a predicted model, not a curated record.